GAACUCGGGUGAAGGAACUAGGCAAAAUUGUACCGUAACUUCGGGAGAAGGUACGCUCUUGUUUGUGAAGGACUUGCUCCGUAAGCAAACGAGAGCCGCAGUGACCAGGUGGCUGGGACUGUUUAUUAAAAACACAGCACUGUGCAAAAUCGUAAGAUGACGUAUACGGUGUGACACCUGCCCGGUGCCGGAAGGUUAAUUGAUGGGGUUAGACAUUUGUCGAAGCUCUUGAUCGAAGCCCCGGUAAACGGCGGCCGUAACUAUAACGGUCCUAAGGUAGCGAAAUUCCUUGUCGGGUAAGUUCCGACCUGCACGAAUGGUGUAACCAUGGCCACGCUGUCUCCACCCGAGACUCAGUGAAAUUGAAAUCGCAGUGAAGAUGCUGUGUACCCGCGGCUAGACGGAAAGACCCCGUGAACCUUUACUACAGCUUGGCACUGAACAUUGACCCUACAUGUGUAGGAUAGGUGGGAGGCUUUGAAGCACAGUCGCUAGAUUGUGUGGAGCCGUCCUUGAAAUACCACCCUUGUAGUGUUGAUGUUCUAACUUAGGUCCCUAAUCGGGAUUGAGGACAGUGCCUGGUGGGUAGUUUGACUGGGGCGGUCUCCUCCCAAAGAGUAACGGAGGAGCACGAAGGUUGGCUAAGUACGGUCGGACAUCGUACGGUUAGUGUAAUGGUAGAAGCCAGCUUAACUGCGAGACAGACACGUCGAGCAGGUACGAAAGUAGGUCAUAGUGAUCCGGUGGUUCUGAAUGGAAGGGCCAUCGCUCAACGGAUAAAAGGUACUCCGGGGAUAACAGGCUGAUACCGCCCAAGAGUUCAUAUCGACGGCGGUGUUUGGCACCUCGAUGUCGGCUCAUCACAUCCUGGGGCUGAAGUCGGUCCCAAGGGUAUGGCUGUUCGCCAUUUAAAGUGGUACGCGAGCUGGGUUUAGAACGUCGUGAGACAGUUCGGUCCCUAUCUGCCGUGGGCGUUUGAGAAUUGAGAGGGGCUGCUCCUAGUACGAGAGGACCGGAGUGGACGAACCGCUGGUGUUCGGGUUGUUAUGCCAAUAGCAUUGCCCGGUAGCUACGUUCGGAAUCGAUAACCGCUGAAAGCAUCUAAGCGGGAAGCGAGCCUCGAGAUGAGUUCUCACUUUAACUUAGAGUUAACUGAAGGGCCGUUGAAGACUACAACGUUGAUAGGCGAGAUGUGGAAGUGCUGUGAGGCAUUGAGCUAACUCGUACUAAUUACCCGUGAGGCUUAACCAUACAACGCCAAAGUGGUUU
Molecule: ribosomal RNA, 1269 nt
Filed under: Pseudoalteromonas luteoviolacea
Lineage: Bacteria; Pseudomonadati; Pseudomonadota; Gammaproteobacteria; Alteromonadales; Pseudoalteromonadaceae
Description: bacterial LSU rRNA
Rfam family: Bacterial large subunit ribosomal RNA
Source: RNAcentral